GUCCGCUCGAACCAAGUCGGGUUUUAUGUGGGGCAACUUGUUGAUUGUAGCCAUAACAAAUCCAGAAAGUUUUUCACUUUCUCCCAGAGUUUGAAGUGCAUCGAAAUUCUUGCUUAAUUUCUCAUAGAAAUCUUGAACUUUUUCAUAAUUAUGUCCUCUUACUGGAGUUAAGUUAAUUAUGGCAUCCAUAUGGGCAUUGAUAACAUGUUUGGGGUGACCAUACUCGCUUUUUAAUCUCUCCCAUGCAAUCUUGUAACCGACUUCACCUGGUUUCAAAUUAGCAAUCUUUUCCCUCACCUUUGGGCUCACCAUUUCCAAUAAAAACCCGUAUUUUUCUUCGGCUGUACUCGCUUUCUCGUGAACAAGUGUCAAAAACAUGUUCUCAAAUCGCACCCAAUCUGUGGGGGUCCCAUUAAACGGUGUUAUUUUUAACUUUGGUAAUUUCGCUGCAGAUGAACGAGCGGUCUUUUCUAUUUCAAUCUUUCUCUGAGUCAUGCGUAAUUCAGCUUCGUGCCUUUCUUGCCAUAAUUGUCGUUCGCGUUCCUCUUGUGCUUCGCGAAUUUCAGCUCGUCGUUGUUCUUCUUGUUGAAAUUGUUUAUCUUUCAAUUCUAGCCGUCGUAAUUCAGCUUCGUCAUAAGCUUUUUCUUGUUUUUCCUUUAGUUGUUGUGCUAUUUUCUCUUUGUCUUCGAUCAGCGCUGAAUAUUUAGCUCUUGUUUCCUUUUUCCACUGUCUAACUGAACGCGGUGUUUUGCCGUUAUCGAUUUUCAACUCUUCUGUUUGUGAAAUUAGCUCCGAUAUUUUGACGAUUAUUUUCCCAGCGCGAUUGUUUAUAGCUUCCAUUUCACCGUAAUCUUUCGCUUGAAUAAUUUCAUUUGUUUCUUCUAAGAAAUACUUCAACUUAGAAAUCUCUUUCUCAAUAUCUCCUUCGAGUUUUUGCUCACCUGCGUUUGUAAUCUCGCUCGCCUUUUCGUCGCUCAUAAUGAUAAAUCAACAGUGUUUACUUCGUAUUUCGCCGCUUUGUGUGUUUGAUUUUCGUCGCUUUUUCCUCUCGAAUCCUGGUCACGGCACCACUAGUAUACCGAACUCAUUACUCACGUAGUAUACUAUUAAUUAUUUAAUCGAAAAUCCAAAAAUAAAACUUACAAAACUUAAACCUAAAAUAUAUUAAAUUUCUCACAGUCUCACGAAUCACGAUAUGUCUCACAGUCUCAAUGUUGUUUUUGUAUUAUUCUGUCUAUCAACUAAUUGUACUUUGCUAUUACUUCAAAAUGUCAAUCUUGUUUAUAAAAGUCCCCGCCCCUUGUCACGCCACCUAAUGUGGCCUAUACUAAUUUCGGUUCA
This is a non-coding RNA of Paramuricea clavata, 1341 nucleotides long. The record is from the annotation of a GenBank genome assembly. NCBI's taxonomy places the organism in Eukaryota, Metazoa, Cnidaria, Anthozoa, Malacalcyonacea, Plexauridae.